GCGUAGGCGGGUUGAUAAGUCAGUGGUGAAAUCCCCGAGCUUAACUUGGGAACUGCCAUUGAUACUAUUAGUCUUGAAUACCGUGGAGGUCGACGGAAUAUGUCAUGUAGCGGUGAAAUGCUUAGAUAUGACAUAGAACACCAAUUGCGAAGGCAGUUGACUACGCGAGUAUUGACGCUGAUGCACGAAAGCGUGGGGAUCAAACAGGAUUAGAUACCCUGGUAGUCCACGCCCUAAACUAUGGAUACUCGACAUACGCGAUACACAGUGUGUGUCUGAGCGAAAGCAUUAAGUAUCCCACCUGGGAAGUACGAUCGCAAGAUUGAAACUCAAAGGAAUUGG
Molecule: ribosomal RNA, 342 nt
Filed under: uncultured bacterium
Lineage: Bacteria
Description: bacterial SSU rRNA
Rfam family: Bacterial small subunit ribosomal RNA
Source: RNAcentral